UUUUCUUCUUCUUCUUCUACUC
This 22-nucleotide small RNA is filed under the name Arabidopsis thaliana (thale cress). Its description in RNAcentral is "ATSL285520". The record is from RNAcentral. Lineage: Eukaryota; Viridiplantae; Streptophyta; Magnoliopsida; Brassicales; Brassicaceae.